AGGCAGUCAAAUGAAUUGUAACCGCAGAAAAGGCUAUGACACAGUUCAUAGAAAAACUGAGCACCCAGUUCCUCGAAUUAUCCAGGCUAGAAGAUAGAGCAGCCACUUUGUUACGCUUAUUUCUUUUAAGGUUGAGCUAGGUCAAAAAGCUCAUCAGAAGGCAAGCUUGCUUUUAUUCACUUUUCUGAUGUUGUGCAUUACAAAUAUUUAAAGAGGAAACACUAGUGCUUGUCCGGUGGCCCUAACCACCCCUCCUCCUAUCUCUCCCUCCAUUUUCAAACGUCCUAGCCACCACUGCUACUUCCUCCAAGUCACCGCUACUUGCUCACCACUCAACUUCCCCAUAGUUGUGGUUCUGCACCUGAUUGCUUUAGCUUUUCUGCAUAGAUCGUUUACACCCCCUUUUGCACCACCACUGUUGCUCCAUAGCAUAGCUAUAGGUUUCACUCCACAAAGAGUAACCACCAUUGACUCCCAUACUAUUGUGCAUUGCAGCUGGAAAACAUAGAUUAAUUUGGAAGAUCUCAUGAAAUCAAUGUCAACAAAACUUUGAUCUAUCAUCUCCAACCGCGACCUUUGGGAUUUGCAUUCAUAGACAUACUAUUUAUGGCUAAAAAGUUUUUCCAGGUAAGAUAAAGCCAAACUGAAAAUUAGGAUUUAUGUUGCAGUCUUGAUAGUCAACUUCCAAAGUUGUUUUAUCUGUUUGCCACCCUAGGUCAGCCUUCC
This 726-nucleotide long non-coding RNA is filed under the name Solanum tuberosum (potato). RNAcentral's name for it is "long non-coding RNA (STUB_LNC007013)". The record is from RNAcentral. Lineage: Eukaryota; Viridiplantae; Streptophyta; Magnoliopsida; Solanales; Solanaceae.